This 14705-nucleotide long non-coding RNA is filed under the name Nicotiana benthamiana. Its description in RNAcentral is "long non-coding RNA (NBEN_LNC017351)". Lineage: Eukaryota; Viridiplantae; Streptophyta; Magnoliopsida; Solanales; Solanaceae. The record is from RNAcentral.
AACCUCUCGGUUGGAAGUGGGGGUUACUUAUCACCAGAGCAACCCCUAUUGUCUAGAUGAUAUAGUAAUAAGUUUUUAAAUAACCAGUGUAGGAGUGACAAACGUGCGGGGCGGGUCGGAAUAGUUCGGGUCAAAAUUAUGAUUGUUCAUUCAAAUCGGAUAUUCGAAAUCCGAACCAAUCCGUUCAAUUUCGGAUUGGAUCGAAUUUCGGAUUGUGUUUUUAAAAUUUUGAAUUUCGGAUCGAAUUCGGAUUGAUAUAUUUUAAUCCGACCUGAUCCGAAAUACGAAAUUAUUAAGGCAUGUAUAAAUACUACACUUUAAUUCCGGAUGGUCAGUACUUCCUUUACAUCAACCUCCAAGUUAUUACCUUUAUAAUUGUAAAUUUAGCUAUCACCAUAGUGCUCUCAUAAUUACAUAAACAUGAAUUUUUCUUAAUGUAUUGUCUUUUUAACAAAGAAAAUAUACAUAUUAGUUUAACCCUGAGGCAUAAUAAUACGAUCCGAAAUUCGAUCCGAUCCGAUCCAAAUUUUAAAAUCUGAUAUAAUUCGGAUCGAAUUCGGAUUGCAUUUUCUAAAAUCCGAAAUGUGUUAAAUCUGAUCUGAUUUGAUCCGUGCACAACCCUAGUCAAAACGGGUAAUAAAAAAUAAAUAAAUUAUCCGACCUUACCCAUAUAUUAUAUGGAUAAAAAACGGGUUAACCGACGGAUAAUACGGGUAACCAUACUGUCCAUGAUUUUUUGCAUAUGACACUAGAAUUCUUAGAGGGUGUUUGGCUAAGCAUAUAAGCUAGUCAAACUGGCUUUAUCUUAUAAGCACUUUUCAGCUUAUCAACGCGACUGGUAAAGUUAAAAUUGCUAUAGAAGUCUAGUGCUUAUAAGUCAAAAAUUAGCCAAAAGCCAUAAGUUUGUCACCUCCAACUUAUGAAUUUUUAGCUUAUAAGCACUUUAUGUUUGACCAAGAUUUUUACUAUUUUAGCCUUAAAAUAUUUUAUUUUAGAACAAAACUCUCACAUCAAUACUCACUGCCUCAAAUAUUUUGUCAUAUUUAGGUUUAUUGUUUACUGAGAAACUUUUAUCAAUUUAUUAAUUAUUAUACCUUAUGAUUAUAUGAUUAUCAUAAAAUAAAUUAUAUUUAUCAUAAAAGUUAUCGUAUCUAAGCAUGGUUGCAUUUAAAAUAAGAUGACAAAUAGAAUAUUUUUGUAUUUGAAUCGAUCUGAAAUCUAAAAUUUUAAAGAAAUUACACCCUUACAGGUGUAAGCAGUUCUAAGGUAUUUAAGUCAUUUUAACAGAAAAAGAGCUCAUCGACACUUUGUUAUCAAAUAAUGUAGCAACUUAUUAUUAAUUCAGCAUUUGUACCGGAACACGUAACUGUAUAUUUAUUAAAUCUGUUUUAGCACUUAAAAGUGCUUUUCACAUAAUGCUUAUCAGCUACUUCAAAUCAACCAAUCCAAACGAGCUCUUAGUCUCUCUAACUUGAGAAACUCUCAAUUUGAGGCUUUACAAAUUUAAAAGUUAGACUCAUUAGUUAUAGAUUGGUUAUCCUUUUUUCAUUAUCCAACCUAUUUUUAGUGGAUAAUAUGGGUGGUUAACUGUUUUCUUUGAACCAUUUGGCCACCCCUAAACGAGUGUAACUUAACCUAUUAUAAAGUUUAUUUGUCUCAUUUUUUAAAUUAUUAAUUUCAAUAUACUUUAAUUAUUUUUGUGGGGGACCUAAAAGUGUGUAUCUUUUAUUUUAUAUUAUUAGUUUUAGAAGUUAAACUGUUGAAAAAGUAGUAAAAAUCAACAAAAAGAUGAAAACGAUUAUUUGUGUUAUUUCAUGUCACUCAUCACUUUUAGUAAAUGAUAUAGCAGCCAAUAUUUUGGUGUUUCCAAAGCCUACACUAUUGAUAGAGCGUUUGUCCUAAAGUCUAAAAACAUUUUGGAAAAUUUGGUCCCAAAAUGACAUUAUGGUCAAACUUUAUAAAAAAGAAAGACUAUUAUACCAAUAAGUAAUGGGAAAAUUAAACUUUAUACAAAAAUUGUUUUUUAUGAAGUUACUCUUAUUAGGGGUAGGCAUCAGUCGGUUCAGUUUGAUUUGAAUAUUAUCUGUUAUCGGUUUAUAAAUAUCAUAAUCCGAUACCAAAUCGAUAAGAUAUUGGUUAUAGGCUAUCGGUUAAUCGAUCAUCGAUCAUUAUCGAUUCAGUUAUCGAUUUACCCGAUAAGAUAAAACAAUUAAAAUAAUUUCGCAAUAUAUAAAAUUAUCGAGUUCUCAGUUAUCUUGAGCCAGAAGUGAAGAAAUAGAUCAGAUUUCUGUUGUCUUUGACAACUUUUUGAUGCAUAAAUAUAGGAUUACAAAGGUGGAAUGGAAUAUGAUUGUAUUGUUAACAAAAUAUGGUCUUGUAUCCUUAAGAACAGUUAAACAGAAGUUUACUGCUUAGGAUUUUUAAAUAUUUCAAAAAGAGAAAUACUUGUUAAAAUUAUAAGUGGAUAAUGCAACAACACCGAAUUUAUACAUUUCUUGUCAAAGCUCAUUUCAUUUCUCAUAAAACAGAAUCUCCAAAAAUGUUUAAAGACUAGAAAACGAUUAAAACAAAAUCUCAAAAAAUUAGCACCGCCCACACACAGCCCCCCCCCCCCCCCCCCNNNNNNNNNNNNNNNNNNNNNNNNNNNNNNNNNNNNNNNNNNNNNNNNNNNNNNNNNNNNNNNNNNNNNNNNNNNNNNNNNNNNNNNNNNNNNNNNNNNNNNNNNNNNNNNNNNNNNNNNNNNNNNNNNNNNNNNNNNNNNNNNNNNNNNNNNNNNNNNNNNNNNNNNNNNNNNNNNNNNNNNNNNNNNNNNNNNNNNNNNNNNNNNNNNNNNNNNNNNNNNNNNNNNNNNNNNNNNNNNNNNNNNNNNNNNNNNNNNNNNNNNNNNNNNNNNNNNNNNNNNNNNNNNNNNNNNNNNNNNNNNNNNNNNNNNNNNNNNNNNNNNNNNNNNNNNNNNNNNNNNNNNNNNNNNNNNNNNNNNNNNNNNNNNNNNNNNNNNNNNNNNNNNNNNNNNNNNNNNNNNNNNNNNNNNNNNNNNNNNNNNNNNNNNNNNNNNNNNNNNNNNNNNNNNNNNNNCCCAAAAAAAAAAAAUCAGAGCCAGAAUGCUUUCAAACAAACUAAGAAAAAAAAUGAAGAUAAAGUAACUAAAACUUACAUGCCGGCUUGAGUCUUGACGGGUUGACUAGUGAGGGUGUGAUGAGACUGGCGAGUCACGCCGGCCUGAGUCUUGAUGGGAUAACUGGUGACGGGUGAGGGCGUAAGCCGUGAGGCAAAUAAUUGGUGAGGGUGUGAGCAGUGGUGAAGCGGAGAACUGGUGAGGUGGGCUGUAGGGGUGUGGCGGAAAAAUUGAGAAAUUGAUAAAGAAAAACUGACUUACUGGGAAUUGAGAAAGAAUAGGAAAACCAAUUAUGAAACUUUAGUACAAUAUAUAUACUUAAGAGUAAACUACUAAAUUAGUUAAUUCUUAUUGGGUUAUCGGUUUUUACCCAAUAACAGAAUUGCAAACCGAGCCCGAACCGAUAACCCAAUAAAUUUCUUUUAACCCGUUAUCGAACCGUUAACCUAAUAACCUAAUAAAUAAUUAACGGUUCGCCCACCCAUACUACUGAUAACUGCUACUACUAAAAACAGCUGGCCUACUACUUAUAACUGCUACAUGAAAAAAAUUUAACUCGUUAUCGAACCGUUAACUAAAUAACUCAAUACCAAUAAUCCAAUAAAUAAUUAACGACUCAGAUUAUCGAUGUUAUCCGAUAUAUGCUCACCCCUAACUCUUACAGCUCUAAUCAGUGGUGUUAAUUAUGAAAUACAUUUAAAAAUGAGAUAAAUGAGAGUUCAUAUAAAUACUCUUACAGUUUUUGUUUUGGUAAAUUAAAUUUUAUUAUCAAAAUUAGGGCGUAAGUACAGAAGAAAAAAAGAGGAAGACUACUACUGGACAAAGUCCAAUAGCAAUCACAAAACUUCAGAAGCAACAUAAUAAGCUGUUCAUAUCUGCAAACUAUUUAUGGAGGAUUGGAGGGUAGAAAUUUUAUAGUUAAUUACUUAUUAAAUAUAUUUCUUAAAAGGUAAUAUUAAAAAUAGAUAAAAAAUGCAAUAUAGCAUCAUAUGAACCUACAAGCCCUCAGACACAUUCAAUUUAUUUGAUAGAGUUAAUACCUUAAAAUCAUCUUAAAUUAUUACUCCUUCCGUUUUAAUUUAUGUGAACUCAGUUGAUCGGGCACGAAAUUUAAGAAAAAAGAGAAGACUUUUGAACUUGUGGUGUAGAAUAAGGCACAUAUAUUUUGUGUGGUUAUAAAUCAUUGCAUAAAGGUAAAUUGUUUCCAAAUAAGGAAAGUGAUCAUUCUUUUUAGUACGGACUAAAAAAGAAAUAGGUUCACAUAAAUUGAAACGAAGAGAGUAUAUUUUUAUCAGUUUCUUACUUAAACUAUUCGGUAUCCUCAAAACCCCCUGAACUAUAUUGUUCUUCAUAUUAAACCCUCUCAUUGUUGAUCAGUCAUAACGUGUGUAAACACUCGCUUGGGAGCACGUAACGGCUAGAAAAAAUAUCAAAAUGGCUCAUAUGACAGAAAAUAAUAGUUAAUUAGCCUAGCCAUCUUUCAUAUUUAUUUUCUUUAUAAAUAUUCUCUUUCUUUCAGUUAUAUCCAUAUUUCUUUCUCAUUUUUCACUAUUUUUUCCUUUUUUUUACCUUUCUUUUUCACUAUUUUUAACCUUUUUUCUUCAGUUUUCGAUAUGGAUUUCCUCUGGAAAAAUAUUCCCUUUCUUGUUUCCUGUUAAAUGAUUUAUUUGCUUUUUAGUUUUAAUCUUCUUUCAUGUCUUACACAUUAUUGAAAGAAUAUCAAUUUAAAUCUUCUUAUUAAACUCAAUACCUUGUAAAGAAUAAAGUUGAAUAUCUUGAACCUUCUUUAUGUAAUAUUAAAUUAGAGAAUAUAAUUAUUGGACAAUUGAUUUUUUAUUCACGAAAUUUUAUCUUGAGUAUUGUUUUUAUGUAAUACAAGAUAUAUUUUAAGAAAUGCAACAUUAUAUGCCUUUAUUUGUAUUUAUUUGGAGUUAAGCAUAAAGUGUCAAUCACAAUUAAACCUAAAAUUAACACCGUACAUUAAAUACUAUUAUGACUAAAACUCCUAAAAUUAAUCAAUCAUCCAAAAGUAACACAUCAUGAGCAAAUUAUAUAAAAAAGAAUAUAGUUCAAGGGAUUUUUGGAACACCAGAUAAUUUAAAUAGGUAACUGACAAAAAGUGAUAGUUUAGAUGGGUUUUAGGCUGAGUUAAAUAAUCACAUAUAGUGUUACAUGACACAUUUUUUAAAUCAUUAGAAAUAUGUAUUACACGUACUUCUAAAAAUAUAAUGAGGGGGUUUUACUAUGAAGGGUAAUAUAAUUCAGGGGUUUUAAGAAUACCGAAUAAUUUAAGCAAAAAACUGAUAAAAAUACAUACUGUUUAGCAAAAUUUCAGGAUAUUAACUCUAUUGGAUACUUUGUUUUGUCCGAUCCAAAAAGUCUUAGAUGUAAAGUUAUCUAAUAGAACAAAUUUUGAUUUUGCAACUUUAACUUUUUAAUUGGGCAACUCAAUUAGUACACUUUAAAGAACGUGUAAUAUUAGUAUCUAUUAUUUAGUCAAAUAAUCUUACUACACUUUAGUUACUAAUACUUUUUUAUUUUUGUCUUUGUUUUUGAUGUUUCUUUUUUUUAUUGAGUCGAGGGUCGAUUGGAAAUAAUAUUUUUGCCCUUUCGAAUUAGGGGUAAAGUCUGUCUACAUAUUACCUUCCCCAGACCUUACUUUGUGAGACUAUACUGGAUAGUUUUUGUUGUUAAUCUUACUACACUUUCUUACUUGAUGGCUAAGUUUGAACUCUACAGCAAAGAUCAUAUGAUCACACCAAAAAUCCAGUUUAAAAAGGAUUUUUUUUGGGUAUUACUCCCUUCAGUUUAAAUAAAUAUCUCUUUUACUUUUUGAUUUUGGUCCAAAAUAAGUGUUUAGUUAGAUAAUAAAAAAAAUUAAUUUAUUUUUAUUUUUUUACCUUUAUAUGCAGAAGAGUAAUAAAUGCCACUACUAUCAAGGAUAAUUUAGUCAUACUAAGUAAUUUUGUAUAGGAUUUAGUAUUUUCUUAAUAAGCGUACUAAAAUUAAAAAAAACACUUAUUAUGAACCAGAAAUCGUAGUUAUUAAUAUUGCAUUAAAAUAAGUUACCUGCGUCAUCUUCUUGGAAUACGAUCCUUCUCCGCACAAUCAUUUACUAACUUAUAUAUACUUCUCUCAUCUUCUUGAAAUACUAUCCUUCCCCAUACAAAUCAUUUACUAACUUAUAUAUACUCAUAGCAUAACAGAAUUUAUACUAUCAAUACAGUUUAGUAUGCGAUAACAGAUCACUUAUUAUCUUUGCUAGGUUAUUUAUUAAUAGUACUAUAAAUAUAUCUAUAAUUAACCUAUUAAUAAGGUAAUUGUGCCAAUAUUUACAUCAAAUAUUAUUGUUUACAUACAAACGGUGUACUGAACUUAAAUCUUAUAAAAAAAAUAUGAAAUGGCCAAAUAUAUCCUUCUGUUUUUAUUUAUUAUUCAAUUAUAUGCCAGUUAUAUUUUCUGUUUAUGUAUUCCGGUGUCGUCCAAUAAAGUUUUAUAUUUACCCUUAUUUUAACGGACAUGACAUGAUGCGCGGUUUGAUUGAAAGAACCAUAGAAAAAGAAAGAAAACCAAAUAUGCCUAAAAUAUGACCCAUCCGACCCGGUUCUACUUUUUAAAAAUUUGCCUAAAAUUAAAACUCAUUUCUUCUUCCCCUCCCCCCUUCCAACAACCAUCACAAUGAGUUGCAAUCUUAAAGAAAGAAGGCAUCAGAUUGAAACUGUAAUUUUCAAUAAGGUUAAUAUAAAGCAUAAGAUUUGGCGAGUAAACAAGGAUCAAACACAUAAUAUAUACUAAUCUUCCAAUUUUUCAAAUAGAAUAGACAAAUCCCAUUCAAGAGAACUAGGAGCAGUAGCAGCGCCUAUUCGUCCAGUCAAAUCUCAAUGUUUGUGGGGCUCUAAAUCCCGACAAUCAAUGAAGGAAGAUUAUACCAUUGAGAGUGUAAAUUUUUUAAAAAUAACGUCGUAUUGUGCGCCCAUCGUUUUCUCUACUUUUUUCGGCAAUUACUUGGCCGGGAAACGAUCACUGUAACGAUUUGAUCGAUCGUUUUGAGCUUUAACACAUCGUUUAGCAAUUUGAGCCCAUGAGCAGCUUCGCUUCAGGUAUUAUGACUCGUACGCAAGGUCGAAAUUGAAUUCCGGAAAGUUCAGAGUUAAUUUGGAAAGAGCAUUUUCAUUUCGGAAGCUUUAAGUUGGAAGAACUGGCUAAGAUUAGAUUUUUUGGAGUAACCGACCUCGGAAUUGGGAUUUGAAGAUUCCAACAAGUUCGUAUAAUGAAUCCGGACUUGGGUGUAUGCCCCCGAUGGGGUUUUGGAUAACCCCGAAGCGUUUUGGCACCUAUUUCUAAGUAUAUUUUUUUCAAAAGUAUUUUUUUUAAAAAUGCUUCCCGGGAGGAAUUAUUUUUUCAGCUUCUCAAAAACUGUUUCUGUUUUUACUCAAAAGCAAGUUUUUUCCUUCAAAAAAGCUUGGCCAAACACCAGAACUUAGAGGGAAAAAAUACUUUUGACCAAGAAAAAAGCUUGGCCAAACAGACUAUAAAAAGAUGUAAUACUAUGUAUUAAAAAUCUUUGAAUUUUGAGAUAUUAAAAAUGUCAUAUAAAAAAUUAAACUUAAAGAGUUACUAAGGGCUCGUUCGGCCAUAAAAAAUAUCUUUUUUUUCAAAAUUAGUGUUUAGCCAUAAGAAUAAUAAAGUAGUUUUUACUUGACAUUGAAUUUCAAAAAAUUUUAAAAAUUUUAAAAACUCCAAAAGGAGGAAAACUAUACUUCCAAUCACUCACAAAAGUUCAAAAACAGUUUCAAAUUGUAUUUACAUCCAAACACAAUUCUAAUUUUUAGAUACCAUUUUUAAUUGCUUAUUAUUUUUUACCUUAUUAUAGAAUAUCAAAAGUCUUAUUUCCAAAUGCCCCCUAAAUAUGAAAAUUUAAAAAACUCCGGAAAGGGAAAAUUAUACUUCAAAUUACUCAUAAAAGUUCAAAAACAGCUUCAAAUUGUAUUUAUAUCUAAACACAACUCUAAUUUUUUAAUUUUCAUAUAUCCUUUUUACUUGUUUUUUUCCUUUUUAUAGAUUUUCAAAAAUCUUAUUUCCAAACGCCCACUAAAUAUGAAUAAAAAAUAUUUUUUUAACAAAUAUAAAAAGAAAAAUAAGACGCAUAAACAAAUUAAAAAAAGUAAGACAUAUAAAUUGAAGGAAAUAACAGCGUUAUAACUCAAAUUACAUAGUUGCAAUCACAACAACAGGCAGCAGAAAGUACUGUAUGAUCAUUCAUUCAACAGCAGAAUAUUAUUAGCUGACUAUUAUUAGCUGGAUACACCAACAUAACCACUGUCCUCAAAUUGGUCCAUUCUUCUAGGAAUACUAUGUACUUUUUAAUACUACAAUAAUUACACCAUAAUCUCCUUAAUUUUCUACUUUUCACACACACUUACACUUUUUCUCUCUUCUUCUCACUCUCUUUUUUUUUCAACAGCCAUGCAAAUUUUAAUGCUAAAUUUCCUGUCCUUUUUUCCUACUGUAAACUCAGUCCACUCCUCCCUAUGUACCUUGUCUUCUUCAACUAGCAGCAGCCGUUUUCAUUGACCAAAUACAAAAAAAGCAGAGCAGAGCAGAGCAUUUGUACACAACAAUGCUUUUACCUUAACCAUAAAGUUUUCAUAUUUUUUUCUCUUUUUGAACAACUUGUUCUUCUUCUUCUUGAUUCUUGAUUCAGUGCAGCAUUUUGUAUACUAUGGUGUUUUUCUUCUUCUUCCUCCUUUUCCUUUUCUGCUCAACCCUCUGUACAUCAUUCGCCGCCGUCUCCGCCCACAACCGCCGUGUUCCCCACGAAUCUUUUUGUCCAGCAGACUCACCAUCACCAUCUCAACCCCCCUUACCCUCUCCCCCGUCCCCUCCUACUCCUUACCCAUUCCAAGCUUCAACUCCUGAUAAUAACAACCCCUUCUUCCCCACCUACCCCUCUCCACCACCCCCACCCUCCCCUUCUUCAGUCGUUUCAUUUCCUGCUAAUAUCUCUGAUAUUAACCUCCCAAAUGCCUCCAAGUCUAAGCAUGUUUCCUCUAAGCUCAUUAUCACUGCCAUUACUUGUGUUCUUGCUGCUAUCGUUGUUCUUUCCAUCGCCAUAUGCUUGCACGCAAAGAAAAGGAGGCUCCAUCUUAAUGACCCAAAAACUCAAAGAUCUAGUAAUAGUAAUAGAUUGAAUCAUAGUAGUAGUAAAAAUGAUGGUAAUACUAGUAGUAGUAGUAUUCCUAAGCUUCAACAACGAUCUCAAACUAGUUCAGAGUUUCUCUAUUUGGGUACUAUUGUCAACUCACAUGGCGGCAUUAAUAGUAGUAGUAACCCUAAUACAGCUCCAUCUUCAAGAAAAAUGGCCUCCCCAGAGCUCCGUCCACUUCCGCCGUUAAAUGGACGGAAUUUAAGUGAAAAUUUCAGGAAUACCCGUAAUGAUGAUUUUUACUCUACUGAGGAGUCUGUGGGUUAUAUAGAGAGCUCUUUUGGAGCUGGAUCAUUGUCACGUAGAGAUUUUGCUGCUGUUGAAGUGGAUACAUUUGUCGGGUCGAGUUUGUCGGGUUCGGAUUCAUCAUCUAGAGGGUCGGGUUCGCCGAGCCGGUCUGUAUCUUUGAGCAUUUCUCCUCCGGCGAGUCCAAAAAGGGAAAGUUGUUCAAGACCUAAGUCGCCGGAACUGGUCGCCGUUGUAACCCCUCCGCCACCUCAGCGUCCACCUCCUCCUCCACCUCCAUUUGCAAAGCCUGUAAAUGGGCCUCAAGUUAAGGUAUCUGCAAAUAAUAGUCCAGUAUUGAUUUCUCCUAUGGGAAAAAAUGAUGAAAAUGUUGAGAGCUUUUCUAUUGAGAAAAAUGAGGAGAAAAGUGAAGACUUGCAUUGGGAUAAAGUAAGAGCAAAUUCGGAUCGUGAAAUGGUGUGGGAUCAACAGAAAUCAAGCUCAUUUAAGUAUGAUAAUCUGAACUCUUGCUACUGAUUAUAUUGUCAUUAUAGAUAUUCAUUAACUUUUUUAGUGUAAGUUGAAUUGAGCUGGUUUAUAUAUGCAGAUUGAAUGAAGAGAUGAUAGAAACAUUGUUUGUUGUGAAGAAUCCAGCUCUGAGUACAAGCGCAACAGCUAGACACCCUGUUGUUCCCUCAAUGAGCCAAGAAAAUAGGGUACUUGAUCCAAAGAAGUCACAGAACAUUGCAAUUUUGCUGAGUGCUCUAAAUGUAACCACAGAGGAAAUAUGUGAAGCCCUCUUAGAAGGUAUACUUUGGUUCUAACAUUCUUUGAGGAGUUUAAUGUUUGAUAGUAUAAAAUAGCUUCUAUGCUAUCAUGUUACCUUAAUGAUAACUACAUGUAACCGUCUAUAGAAGGGGAGCCUUGGUGUAACUUGUAAAAGUUGUUGCCAUGUGACCAGUCGGUCACGGGUUCAAGCCGCGGAAACAGCCUCUGCAUAAAUCUAGUCUGAGACUCAACAGACCUUUGUAGGUCAGGCCUUCCCUAAACCGGUGCAUAACGGGAGUUUAGUGCAUGGGGCUGCCCUACAUGUAACCGUUCAUAAAAAGUGGGAUUUUAACCUGAAAGGUAAGGCAAGUUAACUUACACUACAGGAUAAACUACAAUAGUUUUACAAUCUUUACACUGCCAUUGUAUAUGAGUUAAAUACUCUUUGAAUUGAAAAUUAAGAGCUGAAAAAUGAGAGGAAUGAUGGAAAUGCGCGUGUAUUGCUGACAAAAACUUCUGUUGCCGUAAAAUGAAAAUAGUUAGUUAAUUAAUUCUAUUGUGAGAAUACAACUUGCAAACUGUGUCCUUAUAAAGCUUUCCUACUACAGGCAGCAUGUGAAGAGUUGAGAAGUAGCAGAAUGUUCUUAAAGCUUCUAGAAGCAGUGCUGAAGACGGGAAAUCGCAUGAAUGUUGGGACAAAUAGGGGUGAUGCUCAUGCCUUCAAACUUGACACACUGCUAAAGCUUGUGGAUGUGAAGGGAGCAGAUGGGAAAACAACCCUCUUGCAUUUUGUAGUUCAGGAGAUUAUAAAAAGUGAAGGUGCUCGUCUUUCUGCUGGAAAGCAGAAUCAACAAUCUACUACCAAUGACGACGCUAAGUGCAAGAAGCUUGGCCUCCAAGUUGUUUCCAACAUUAGUUCAGAACUUACAACAUUGCUGAGGUUGUGCGAUCCAUUGAAGCUGUCGGAUUGGAGGAAAACAGUACUAAAAGAUUCUCCAAGUCCAUGAACAGGUUUAUGAAAGUAGCAAAAGAGAAGAUUUCAAAGCUCCAAGCUCAAGAAAUGUUGGCCAUGUCGCUGGUGAAAGAAAUAACCGAGUAUGUCCACGGAGAUUCAGCUAGAGAAGAGGCUCACCCUUUCAGAAUAUUCAUAGUUGUCAAAGACUUCCUAACGAUUCUUGAUCGUGUUUGCAAGGAAGUUGGAAUGAUAAAUGAGCGGACGAUAGUUAGUUCUGCUCAAAAGUUUCCAGUUCCAGUUGAUCCAAAUCUACAACCUGUCAUUAGUGGAUUCAGAGCUAAACGGCAGCAUAGUUCCUCUGAUGAGGAAAGCUCAUCUCCUUAGUAGAAUUAUUUGGUCAUAACAGGCAAAUGCUAGUUUUUAGUUUUGGCCAAAACCAAUGUAAUCUAUUAUAUAGGAGGCAUAGGAGUUUGCCAUAGAUUGUGCAGAACUAUUUAGGGAUAUGCAACUCUUUUAUCUAUCUGAAUUUUGUAUUAUAUUAGAUCAUUCUAUAAGAUAAUUGGGAAAUUCUAUUUCUUUUGGCAUGAUAGAGCAGAUUUUCUUCAGCAAGAUAAAGCAAAAACUUUCUUGUAAGUUCACCAUGGUAACCGAAGGUGUUAAGAGAGGACGAAGUAGACCUAAAAUCACAUGAAGAAACUUGUUUAAAAGGAUCAAUCAUUUCUUGGAAUUCAUGCGGAUUUUGCAAAAGAUAAGACACAAUCAAAAAAAUAUAUCUAUAUAGGUGAUAUCGAUUGUUUGGAAAUAUGUUUGUCAUGUUAAUAUUUUGAGCUGAGAUUCUAUCGGAAACAGCCUAUCUAUCUCCCAAGUAUAAGGGUAAGAUCUGUGCAUACACUGCCCUUCCAGACAUCGACUAGGUUUUUUAUUAUUGUUGUUGUUGCCUUAUGCUUUGUAGGACUCCUUUAACCCUAUCAAUGGUUUUUAUGCCAAUAGAAAAUAUACAGAACUUCGAAUAUUUUUUUUUGUUUUUAUUUUUGUAAUGUUAGCUUGAGAUAAAUUUAAAUGGCAAAAUAUGAUUAGUGGGGAUUCAUGCAGUCGAUCACAACUUAUUUGGUCGCAAGUCAAUAGGAUCAAGAGCUUCUAGAAGCAAAUAAUGCAAGGUUUGGCAAGAAUAACGUAUAAAGCAGAAAUAGGAACUAUUCAUAAUAUGAUUAGGAUUGAUAAUGAAAUAGGAUUCUCCAUCAGAAAAAGCAUCUCAAGUUUUAGACCGUUGUUGGAAAAGAAUUUACCGUAUUAAAGUGUGGAAAGCAAAAAUCAUGUAAUCAAAAUUAGAGCUGAAAAAUGAAAGGCAGAAAUCAUGCCUCUUUCCAAAUCCAAAUUUUGUUGAGUUCAUUGGACUAAAUUGUACACUUAAAAUUAAAGCAUAUUUAACAAAUGGCCUCAUUGGCCUAAACUGAGUUACACCUCAAUACUCUGUAUAAAUAAUCUACUAGAAAAACUAGACAAAAAAGGUGUCAUUGAACGAACAAAUGUUAAAUUGUGUGACCACCUCGUUUAAAAUAUUAUGCUUGUAAGUAGCAAAAACGCCUUCCAAAAUAGCAAUAAUCAAAGGAGAGAAAAGGAGAGAGUAAAAGCAUUCUCACAGCCUAAAUAAUAGGAAAGUCCAGUUCAAACCUUCAUCAACCAAUAUCUAAAGCAGUAACGGUAGCCCAGUGCACUAAGAUCCCGCUAUGCAUGGGGUCCGGGGAAGGACCAGACCACAAGGGUCUAUUGUACGCAGCCUUAUCCUACAUUUCUGCAAGAGGUUGUUUCUACUAAUAUCUAAAACAGUGACACAGUUAAAUGCACAUCAUGAAUAUUUAAGUCACUUCCCUCCCUUCAACCUUAAUACAAGGAAUAAAAAAAGGGUCGCCAGGUACACAAAGCAUCCCACAUUUAUGCAAGGUUCAGAGAAAGGCCACACCCCAACGGGAUAUGAUGUAGGCACCAAUACCCUGAUACAAGCAUCAAUAGCCGAUUCCACGGCUCGAACCCCUGACCUAUAGGUCACACGAAGACAACUUGAUUGUUGCUCCAAGGCUCCCCCAUCAACCAGAAUACAAGGAUCUGGGGAAAAAAAUUUAACUAACAUCUAAUCUGUAUAGGAACUAAUCAGGAAGAAGAAAAAAAACAAAGAAAAAGAGAGAUAAGAGACAGAGACAUCUAAUCUGUAUAAAUCUCUUCAGCAGGAAAAAUACAGAAAAGGAAACACAAAUUACAUAGGUGGGUAAGCUAUGAAGAAGGGACUUACAGUAGAAUAAUCAAUAUAGAUAGUGAACGUGGUAUUUGUACAGGAUAGAAAAAGAUUAUGCAGAACAGACAACAACCUACAAUUACAGAAGACUACUAUGAUUCUAUAUUAAGUACUGUAUCAUACUUACUCAACCAUUAACGAACAACUAGCCUCUUUUACUUAUUGAGCAACGAUGAGUUCGUCCAGUUGAUGUCCGCCAUCAUCACUUUCUGAAGGCAUCAUCAAAAUGUCAUCUUCAGUUGUGAAAUGAUAUCGCUCUCCGAUGGCUCUCAGAAACUGGUACACUUCAAACAUUGUCGGCCUCUCCUUAGGAGCAGACAACACACAUCGACAAGCAACUUUAAGGACUUGGAAAAUCUCACUGUCAUAACCUUUACCAGACAACGAAUGGUCAAUUGCAUCGUGAAGCUUAGAUUCACCAGAGAGAUUUGAAAUCCAUUCCACGAGAUUUCCCUUAAAGGUCUCGGGAGCUUUGGUGACAGAGGUUGGCCUCUCACCAGUUACUAACUCAAGAAGUACAACACCAAAACUGUACACAUCACCUUUUGGUGUAGCCAUAAGAGUGCGAGCGUACUCAGGAGCAACAUAACCAAAGUCACCAAAUUCUCCAUUGACAAAGGUACUCAAAUGAGUGUCAAUUGGAUUCAUGAGCCUAGCGAGUCCAAAAUCUACCAAAUUCUCCAUUGACGAAGGUACUCAAAUGAGUGUCAAUUGGAUUCAUAAGCCUAGCAAGUCCAAAAUCUGAUAUUUUUGGUUCGAAUUCCACGUCCAACAAGAUGCAUUUAGAACUAAUGUUUCUGUGAAUAAUACGAGGAUUGCAGUUGUGGUGAAGCCAUGCAAAUCCUUUGGCUGCUCCAAGGCCAAUCUUAAGUCUCAUAGGCCACUCGAGAGUUUUUUCCCCUUCACUCACCGAAUGUAACUUGUCAUGCAAGGUGCCAUUUAGCAUGUCCUUGUAGACCAACAGCCUUUCUUUUUUUGCCAUGCAGAAACCUAUCGUGCAAGGUGCCAUUUGGCAUGUCCUUGUAGACCAACAGCCUUUCUUUUUUUGCCAUGCAGAAACCUAAAAGAGGAACCAAGUUACGGUGCUUUACCUUUCCCAAAGUAUCCAUCUCAGAAACAAACUCUUUCUCUGAAUGUUGAGUAUUCU